This 812-nucleotide ribosomal RNA is filed under the name Paenibacillus silagei. Its description in RNAcentral is "partial 23S ribosomal RNA". It matches the Rfam family "Bacterial large subunit ribosomal RNA", at positions 1 to 792 of the family's 2925-position model. The record is from RNAcentral. Lineage: Bacteria; Bacillati; Bacillota; Bacilli; Caryophanales; Paenibacillaceae.
GGUUAAGCUACUAAGAGCACACGGAGGAUGCCUAGGCGCCAGGAGCCGACGAAGGACGUGGCGAACAACGAAACUGCCUCGGGGAGCUGUAAGCAAGCUUUGAUCCGGGGGUGUCCGAAUGGGGAAACCCAGCUGUGGUAAUUCGCAGUUACUCAUUUCUGAAUACAUAGGAAAUGCAGAGGCAGACCAGGGGAACUGAAACAUCUAAGUACCCUGAGGAAGAGAAAACAAUAGUGAUUCCGUCAGUAGCGGCGAGCGAACGCGGAACAGCCUAAACCAAGGGGCUUGCCUCUUGGGGUUGUGGGACGUCUCACAUGGAGUUACAAAGGAAUAUGGUAGGUGAAGAGGUCUGGAAAGGCCCGCGAUAGAGGUAAAAGCCCUGUAGCCUAAACUGUGUUCUCUCCGAGACGGAUCCCGAGUAGUGCGGGGCACGUGAAACCCCGUAUGAAUCCAGCAGGACCAUCUGCUAAGGCUAAAUACUACCUGGCGACCGAUAGUGAAACAGUACCGUGAGGGAAAGGUGAAAAGCACCCCGGAAGGGGAGUGAAAUAGAACCUGAAACCGUGUGCUUACAAAAAGUCAGAGCCCUAUGCUGGACUUGUCCAGCACGGGUGAUGGCGUGCCUUUUGUAGAAUGAACCGGCGAGUUACGUUUAACAUGCAAGGUUAAGGUGAGAAGCCGGAGCCGCAGCGAAAGCGAGUCUGAAUAGGGCGACUCAGUAUGUGGACGUAGACCCGAAACCGUGUGAUCUACCCCUGUCCAGGGUGAAGGUGCGGUAACACGCACUGGAGGCCCGAACCCACGCAUGUUGA